GUAGUCUGAUAUGUGGAGUUAUAGGAUGGCUCUAUAUAUUGCACAAGGAAGUACUAGCACCACAUUAGUCACAAAAGCAUGUUGAGAAAUCAUUCAACGGUGGCACUGUGCUGGUCCUAGGCUAGACCAUGCUAGUGACGCGAGCCUGAGCACAGAUGAAGUCACAAUAUCGCAAGAAUAAUAAGAACAACAAGAGAUAACUUCCCUUCUUUUCCUCUUCCUUUCUUUUCUUUCCUUUUUUUCUUAUCUUUCCUUUUUCUUUUAUUUUUUUCUGAUAUUUUUUUGUUUCUUUCUGUUUUUUUCCUACUUUGCUCAACUAAAAUAAAUCUGAAUCUUGAUGGAUUAGAUUUCAGAAAACACACAAUGUCUUUAGUGUAACAAAAAUACAACUAGCAGAUUAUGAUGGUGAUAUGAUGUUGCAGUAACACUGAUUGCAACGGGGAUGAGAAAAAUAGAAUGUGAAAGAAGAGUGGAGGAGAGGCAAAAGGAUGCGCAUGAAGUGGACAAGGAUGCAAUGUUCUAAAAUUAGAUGCCCAAGAGUGGAAUGAAUCUAGUGGUUGCAAUAGGAUGCUGAUUAUAGAAUGUGCAAGAGCACUUACAAUAGGAUGUAUGAAUGGAAGAAAGGAACAUGCAGGUGGUAGUGAGUAAGAAUAGGUUGCUCACGGGUGGAAGUGAAAACGUGCAUGCAAUGGCCUAAAAAUAUAGCGUGCGCAUGAGUGAAAAGAGAGUGGUGGAUGGUGUUUACACGGUGCCCAAGUAGGGUGGUGAUGGUAGUUCAGAUAUAUUUAGUGUAGUCCAAAUGUAUAUGGUAAUAGUGAUUGCAGCGGAGAUUAUACGAUGGGCAAUGACUAAAACGUGACAAAAACUCAAAACUCUAAAAGUCUAAACCUAAGACCAGCAACUCGACUCAACCGAUGUAAAUCAAACACAACAAGCCUGAACUAAGUAGUACUAGUAAAAGGCUCAAAGGGUCUAUAGGAUGAUAGAAAUGAAAGUACUAUUUUUCUUGGCUUUUUCUAGGCAAUAGGGAAAAAAUGCAAACUAAAUUCUCUCACCGAUGAAACCUUGAUCUGAUGCCACAUAAUAAGAAUGAGGGUGUCCCGAUCUUUCGGUGGAGAUGGAUAACUUCGAUCUCUCUGGAGCGACGUUCACGAUCCGACUACAACCAUCCAAGGACGCUGCGCCUUAGCGAUCGAUACACCAAUUCCAGCGGUUGAUCACAAUCUUGUUGAUCACAACCAACCAAACCACUAGGGUAAUUCCUGCACGCAAUCGAAGAACAUGCAAGAACAGAUAGAACAGGCACUCAAUUGCCAAAUAAUACAAGAAGGAUCUGAUAUGAAUCACAAUAACAAUAUGGGGUUUUGAAUCAAGUAGAACGGAUGGUCUAGUCGACACAUGCGUCUACAAGGAAGUAGCAAUGGCUAAACUUACAACAAAACAAAACCCGCCUUGUGUCUCUAGCUGUAGAAGCCUUUAUGUACAAGAGAGAGCAACCAGAGUGUGCGGUGCUAAUCCCUCGACUCACUAAAAACAAAAGAAAACAAUAAUAAGUAACUCAACGAUUGCGGCCGCCUCAUUAUAGAUAUGGUCUUGGGACUGGAUCCAUGUGAAAAUAGACUUCAUAAGCUUUCCACCGUGUAUUUGAACAUCAAAAUUGGUCACCGUAUGUAGUCUUGGUGGCCACCACAAUUUGAGACCCUUCUGCAGUCCAAAUUUAGCCCAUCGCAAAUAUGCUUCCUUGCGGUUCCUCCUCAUUAUUCUAGAUAGUUGAGUUAUCAUGCAUAUGAAUCUGAGGCGUGGAGGUAUUGAUGGUGCUCAUGUCCUCAUCAUCCUCCUCUUCUUGCAUUUGAGUCGUCCUUGACUCAAGCUUGUCCUCUUCUAUUGAUGGUACUCAUGUCCUCAUCAGUACUCCUAGGUGAAGAGGCUCAAGUGGAAGCUCGGUUCGGUCUGUUUGAAGAUAGUGCUAACUUGAUGCAAGAUAGUUGCACGGUUUGCAUGGAACGUAUCAUAUGCUUGGAAAUCAAUUUGGAUGCACCUGAUGGAACUCCUAGAUGUCGUGCAUCAUAUGUAAUCUUGCUUUGGUCCAUUUGCAUACAAUGUUAGUUUUGGUGCAAGAUGGGUGCAUGGUUUGCGUCUAAUGCACCAUUGGCUAAGAAACCAUUUUGGACACACCCAAUGGUACUCCUAGGUGAAGGGGUGCAAGUGGAGGCUUGGUUUGGUCCAUUUGGAGAUAGUGCCAAUCUUUAGGAAAGAUAGGUGCACGUUUGCGUGGAACAUACCAUGAAAUCAAUUUGGACGCAACCGAUGGAACUCCUAGAUGACGUGUGUCAUAUGGAAUCUUGCUUCAGUUCAUUUGGAGACUGUUAGUUUUGGUGCAAGCUAGGUGCAUAGUUUGUGUCGAAUGCACCAUAGUUUAAGAAACCAUUUUGGAUGCACUUAUUUGUACUCCUGGGUGAAGAGGCUCAUGUGGAAGCUCAAUUUGGUAUGUUUGGAGAUAGUGCUAAUCUUGAUGCAAGAUAGAUGCACAGUUUGCAAGGAACGUACCAUAUGCUAAGAAAUCAAUUUGGACACCCGAUGGAACUUCUAGAUGACGUGUGUCAUAUGGAAUCUCACUUUCGUUCGUUUGGAGACAGUGUUAGUUUCGGUGCAAGAUAGGUGCACAGUUUGCGCCUAAUGCACCAUAGGCAAAGAAACCAUUUUGGACACACCCGAUGGUACUCCUAGGUGAAGGGGCUCAAGUGGAAGCUCAGUACGGUUUGUUUGGAGAUAGUGCUAAUCUUUAUGUAUGAUAGGUGCACGGUUUGCAUGGAACAUACCAUAUGCUCAAAAAUCAAUAUGGACGCAACGAAUAGAACUCCUAGAUGAUGUGUGUCAUCCAGAAUCUCACUUUGUCUGUUUGGAGAUAGUUUUAGUUUGGGUGCAAGAUAGAUGAAUGGUUUGCGCCUAAUGCACCAUACUCUAAGAAAAUAUUUUGGACACACUCGAUGGUACUCCUAGGUGAAGAGGCUCAAGUGGAAGCUUGGUUCGGUCUGUUUGGAGAUAGUGCUAACUUGAUGCAAGAUAGUUGCACGGUUUGCAUGGAACGUACCAUAUGCUUGGAAAUCAAUUUGGACGCACCCAAUGGAACUCCAACUCCUAGAUGAGGUGUGUCAUAUGUAAUCUCGCUUUGGUCCGUUUGGAGACAUCGUUAGUUUUGGUGCAAGAUAAGUGCACGGUUUGUGCCUAAUGCACCAUAGGCUAACAAACCAUUUUGGACGCACCCGAUGGUUCUCCUAGGUUUUGUCUAUGUUUUCUCCAUUUGUAGAUAGUCCUAAUCUUCAUGUAAGAUAGGUGCAUGGUUUGCAUGUAACGUACCAUUUGCUUGGAAAUCAAUUUGGACGCACCCAAUAGAACUUCUAGAUGACUCGUGUCAUAUGGAAUCUCGCUUCGAUCUAUUUGAAGAGAGUGUUAGUUUCAGUGCAACAUAGGUGUACCGUUUGCGCCUAAUGCACCAUAGGCUAAGAAACCAUUUUGGAUGCAGCCGAUGGUACUCCUUGGUAGAGGGGCUCAAGUGAAAGCUUGGUUUGGUCUAUUUGGAGAUAGUGUUAAUCUUGAUGCAAGAUAGGUGCAUGGUUUGCAUGGAACGUACCAUAUGCUCAAAAUUCAAUUUGGACACACACGAUAGAACUCCUUGAUGACGUUUGUCGUAUGGAAUCUUGCUUCGUUCCUUUUGGAGGUAGUGUUAGUUUUAGUGCAAGAUAUGUGCACGGUUUGUGCCUAGUGCACCAUAGGCUAAGAAACCAUUUUAGACGCACCCGAUGGUACUCCUAGGUGAAUAGGCUUAAGUGGAAGCUCGGUUUGGUCUGUUCAGAGAUAGUGCUAAUCUUGAUGCAAGAUAGGUGCACGGUUUACAUGGAACGUACGAUAUGCUCAGAAAUCAAUUUGGACUGACCAAAUGGAACUCCUAGAUGACGUGUGUCAUAUGGAAUCUUGCUUGGGUCCAUUUCGAGACAUUGUUAGUUUUGGUGCAAGAUAGGUACACGGGCCUAAUGCACCAUAGGCUAAGAAACCAUUUUGGACACACCUGAUGGUACUCCUGGUGAAGGGGCUCAAGUGGAAGCCUGGUUUGGUCUGUUUGGAGAUGGUGCUAAUCUUGAGGAAAGAUAGCUGCACGGUUUGCAUGGAAUGUAUCAUAUGCUCAGAAAUCAAUUUGGACACACCUGAUGGAACUCCUUGAGGACGUGUGUAAUAUGGAAUCUCACUUUGGUCCAUUUGGAGAUUAUGUUAGUUUCGGUGCAAGAUAGGUGCACGGUUUGCGCCUAAUGCACUAUAGGCUUAGAAACCGUUGUGGAAGCACCCGAUGGUACUCGUAGGUGAAGAGGCUCAAGUAAAGCUUGAUACGGUCUAUUUGGAGAUAGUGCUAACCUUCAUGUAAGAUAGGUGCACAGUUUGCAUGGAACAUACCAUAUGCUCAAAAAUCAAUUUGCACGCACCCGAUAGAACUCCUAGAUGAUGUGUGUUAUGUGUAAUCUCGCUUUGGUCUAUUCGGACAUAGUGUGAGUUUCGAUGCAAGAUAGGUGCACGGUUUGCUCCUAAUGCACAAUCUCUAAGAAACCAUUUUGGACAAACCCAAUGGUACUCCUAGGUGAAGAGGCUCAAGUAGAAGCUCGGUUCGGUCUAUUUGGAGAUAGUGUAAAUCUUGAUGCAAGAUAGUUGCACUGUUUGCAUCGAACAUAUCAUAUGCUUGGAAAUCAAUUUGGAUGCACUCGAUGGAACUCCUAGAUGACGUUUGUCAUAUGUAAUCUUGCUUUGGUCCAUUUGGAGACAAUGUUAGUUUCGGUGCAAGAUAGGUGCAUGGUUUGCAUCUAAUGCACCAUUGAGUAAGAAACCAUUUUGGGCACAUCCAAUGGUACUCCUAGGUGAAGAGGCGCAAGUGGAGGCUUGGUUUGGUCUGUUUGGAGAUAGUGCUAAUCUUUAGGAAAGAUAGGUGCACAUUUGCAUGGAACAUACCAUAUGCUUAGAAAUCAAUUUGGACGCAACCGAUGGAACUCCUAGAUGACGUGUGUCAUAUGGAAUCUUGCUUCAGUUCACUUGGAGACAAUGUUAGUUUUGGUGCAAGCUAGGUGCAUAGUUUGUGCCGAAUGCACCAUAGUCUAAGAAACCAUUUUGGAUGCACCUAUUUGUACUCCUAGGUUAAUUGGCUCAAGUGGAAGCUCAGUUUGGUCUGUUUGGAGAUAGUGCUAAUCUUGAUGCAAGAUUGAUGCACAGUUUGCAAGGAACGUACCAUAUGCUAAGAAAUCAAUUUGGACACCCGAUGGAACUCCUAGAUGACGUGUGUCAUAUGGAAUCUCGCUUUGUUCUGUUUGGAGACAGUGUUAGCUUCAGUGCA
Molecule: long non-coding RNA, 5371 nt
Filed under: Sorghum bicolor (sorghum)
Lineage: Eukaryota; Viridiplantae; Streptophyta; Magnoliopsida; Poales; Poaceae
Description: long non-coding RNA (SBIC_LNC008919)
Source: RNAcentral